AGUUCAAAGUGGGCGUUUGGGGUGGGUGGGGUUUUGCCAGAGAUCAUGGCACUGUGUCUUUUGUUUCUUUUUUUUUUUUUGGUACCGGGGAUUGAACUCCGGUCUUUGCGCUUGCAAGGCAGGCCACCGAACCGCUGAGCUAAAUCCCCGGCCCCAGGCACUGUGUCUUUUACUGAAUAAAUUUUUAAAAAAGAAAUAUUCAUUGCAUUUUUAUCACACCUCAUAGGUAUUAAGCUUUUUCCUUUAAUUAAUCAUGUUAAAUCAUGGUAAAAUGUGUACCCUGAGUUACCACUUUCACCCGCUUUUCAGCGUGUGUUUGAUGGCCUUAAGUGUAUGCACAUCUCUCUGAAGCCACGGCCACUGUUGUUCUCCAGAAUUCUUUGCACCCAAAGCUGCGUCCCUACUAAGCUCUACGUCCCCACCCUCCCUUCCCUGGUCCAGGCAGCCUCAUUCUACUUCUGUGUUUUGUUUUCUGGUGUUUUGGUCUUUGUUUCUGUCGCGGUGCUGGCGAUGGAGCCCAGGGUCCACAUGCAAGCCAGACAGGCGCUGCGGCCACUGGCCUGGAGUCACACCACAGCCCUGCACCCUCGACUUCCUGCUACUGCUUUGGCUCUCGCGACUCUCAGGACUUCUGGGACCAGAAUCACACAGUGUGCCCAGGUCUUCAAGAUUCAGCCGUCAAAAUUUCUGACUACUGGAUCAAAUAAAGAGCCGUCUGGACUGUGUAUCACUAAGCAAGAGAUUCAGCCCAGGAGGGGAGUGGCUUGGGAUUAAAGCCACAGAAGCCAGAGGGAAGUGACACGGAUGACAGCGUCCUGCUUCUGGAUGGUAACAUGCAAUGCAUGAAGAAUUCUGGGGCCCAAAUGGGCAGAUUCGGAGCAGUGCUCUGGUGGCACACACCUUCUAAGGACUAAGGACUCCCUUAGGACUCCCUUUCUAAAUGCAUUUAGGCUCAGAUGUUUCCUGUACUUCCAACGCCCAUCGCUCGGCUACCUUCCCAAGGAAUCUCAAAAACACCACCACCCAGGGUCGCGGAUGUAGCUCAGUGGCUUGCGAGUGCAAGGACCCGAGUUUGGACCCAUGUUAGAUCCCAGUUACCAAACAAACCACCACCACCCAACAUCCCAUUCUCUAGUCCAGGGAUUCUCCAACUCGUUUUGUUUGUUUGUUUUGUUUUAUACACUUGCUUACUGAGGCCACCAAAGAGCUUUGUUUUUUGUGUGUUCAAUAGGUACUGUAUUUGAAAUUAAAGCAAAACUGUAAAGAACAGCCACUAAGUGCAUUUAGAAAUAAUAAAUCGAUCACAGGUUAACAUAAACCGUAUUACAUAAAACAUAAAACAAAGAAUGGAUGAAUUUUCCAAAAAAUUAGUGGUGAGAAUUUUUAUAGUUUUGCAAAUUUCCUUUAAUACCCAACUUUGAAGACCACUGGAUUCUCCUGCUUCUGCACCCAGUCUUGUGAGAUUACAUUUUGUACUCUCUGCUAGGGGAGAGACUGGUUUAUUGGGGACGAUCUCUUUGAGAGAUUGAUAGCUCUUUCUGAAAAUACUUCUGAUCCUGUCAAUCUCCUGAAUGAAGUCCCUGGUACCCAUUUUGAGAACUGUGAUACGGGUCAUUUCAGUGGCCACAGUGUCUCCCAAGGCCCGGAUGACAUCCCUUACUUCCGGCUCUGUUCCCACUGUGUCUUGCCCUGCUGUUGACGUUUACUAACAUGAUAGACUGAAGCGAUCCUCUUGCUUCAGGCUCCUGAAUAGCUGGGGCCACAGCUACAUGCCACGAUACCUGGCCUAACCUUUUUUAAAUUUAACCCCUCUUUUAGUUAGAAAAGAAACACAGCUGUAUUACGGCUAUCUAGUAGUAAACAAUAUAUACACAUGCAGUUUUCUAGUUAUCAUUACAUCAUGAUUUACAAAUGAACAGUAAUUCUGAACCCUAUCCCCACUCCUGGCAAGGGGUAGGCGUUUCUUUUUCUAACAUCAAACAGCAGCAUCAUGUUCCACUGUGUAGAUAUAACACAAUUACUUACUAAAUAACCAACAUUAGCACAUUUGAAUGCUUCCAAUUUCUUAUAAUAACAGUACUCCGGUGAAGAAUACCUUCAUACAUCUAGCUUUUUUGGAGACUUAGGGCUAUUUCCUUAGAUUCCCAGAAGUAAGAUUACUGGGUCAAAAGGUGCAGACAUUUUUAUGGCUUUUAAUACAUACUGUAAAAUUGCUUUUCAAAAGGGCUAAUUUACAAUGCCACCAACACUUUCAAGAAUGUUUCAGCACACGAAUCAUCAACACAGGUGCCAUUAAGAAUGCUAAUCGAUAAAAUAUUGUACCCUAGUUGCUAAAAUUUUGCAUUUUUUUGAGGCUCAUAAAGUUAGUUUGUUGAAGAAUGAGCGUACAAUACAAAACAUUCUUUUGGGACAUCUUUAUUUCUGGAAAACCUAGGAAGUUCUCCCUGGCGAAGACCAGAAAAAAGAACACAUGUUAGGAUUGGCACAAAAUCCACUUUGACAGUCAAUCUUAAUGCCAAAACACUCAACGACGAUUUUUUUCACUGUUUCUCUGCUUUCGCUAAUAGUAGCAAAAGGAAAACAACAAAAACAAAACAAAGCAACAAAAAACCCCCCAACUCCACAAAAAACCCACAUUGUAGAGGAAUGAAACAUUCUCACUUCAAACCAUACAAGAUCAGACACUGUCGGAGCUCUGCUUUUCAUUCAACUUUUCUUAAAAAACAAAACAAAACAAAAAAAAAAACUUUGAGAUUUCAGUCUUCUCCUUUUUUUCUGAUGUUAACUGUCCAUGUACAAAACUCCUGAAUUUCUGGGUGUGGGCCACCUCCUUCGUGAGCGAAGCACCCGCACCCCGCAGGACUGGGGACCCCAUGCCCGGGGAGGGUGCACGGC
This is a long non-coding RNA of Fukomys damarensis (Damara mole-rat), 2895 nucleotides long. The record is from Ensembl. Lineage: Eukaryota; Metazoa; Chordata; Mammalia; Rodentia; Bathyergidae.